This 468-nucleotide ribosomal RNA is filed under the name uncultured bacterium. RNAcentral describes it as "partial 16S ribosomal RNA". It matches the Rfam family "Bacterial small subunit ribosomal RNA", at positions 28 to 507 of the family's 1533-position model. The record is from RNAcentral.
GACGAACGCUGGCGGCGUGCUUAACACAUGCAAGUCGAACGGAAAGGCCCUGCUUUUGUGGGGUGCUCGAGUGGCGAACGGGUGAGUAACACGUGAGUAACCUGCCCUUGACUUUGGGAUAACUUCAGGAAACUGGGGCUAAUACCGGAUAGGAGCUCCUGCUGCAUGGUGGGGGUUGGAAAGUUUCGGCGGUUGGGGAUGGACUCGCGGCUGAUCAGCUUGUUGGUGGGGUAGUGGCUUACCAAGGCUUUGACGGGUAGCCGGCCUGAGAGGGUGACCGGCGACAUUGGGACUGAGAUACGGCCCAGACUCCUACGGGAGGCAGCAGUGGGGAAUAUUGCACAAUGGGCGGAAGCCUGAUGCAGCAACGCCGCGUGCGGGAUGACGGCCUUCGGGUUGUAAACCGCUUUCGCCUGUGACGAAGCGUGAGUGACGGUAAUGGGUAAAGAAGCACCGGCUAACUACGUG